UUAACAGUGUGUAAAUGCAAUGUAAGUGCAACCUACAACAGCACCAAGUUAGCAGAAGGAAAAUGGACUCAGGAGCCUAGGAAAAGAAGGGAGCCUACAAAAAAAAGCAAACAAGGGAAAAAUAAAAGGAAAUAUAGCAUCAUAUAUCAUGCACGGUGAGGUGAGACCCUUAGACGGUUGAAUCAUUCAGAUGAUGUGCUAUCAUUAGCUCUGGACAGUCUGCCCUCUGCUUGUUUGAUCUAGGCUGUUUAUAAAACAUAGAACCUGGCUGUUGCCGCCGAUGGACUCAUCAACCAAAUUAAGCAGAGACAUAUAAACGUGGAUUUUCAGGAAGAAGACAGUUACUUAAAGGAAAUCAACACGAAACUCAGCUGCCCAUAUUAAACACUUAUUAAGUCCACCUGAGCUGCACUCACUCUCCUCUUGACAGGAUAAUU
This is a non-coding RNA of Odocoileus virginianus texanus, 437 nucleotides long. Lineage: Eukaryota; Metazoa; Chordata; Mammalia; Artiodactyla; Cervidae. The record is from RefSeq and is a predicted model, not a curated record.